RNAcentral lists this ribosomal RNA (1006 nucleotides) under uncultured euryarchaeote. RNAcentral describes it as "bacterial SSU rRNA". It matches the Rfam family "Archaeal small subunit ribosomal RNA", at positions 338 to 1347 of the family's 1478-position model. Lineage: Archaea; Methanobacteriati; Methanobacteriota. The record is from RNAcentral.
GGCGCGAAACCUUUACAAUGUGCGACAGCGUGAUAAGGGGAUUCUCAGCGCUCAAGCAAUGCUUGAGCUUUUACUUAGCGUAAAUAGCUAUGUGAAUAAGUGGUGGGAAAUACCGGUGCCAGCCGCCGCGGUAACACCGGAGCCACAAGUGGCAAUCAAUAUUAUUGGGCCUAAAGCGUUCGUAGCAGGCUUUGCAAAUACUUCGUGAAAUUGCCGUGCCUAACAUGGCAAAUGGCGGAGUACACUACAAGGCUAGAGACUGGGAGGCGUUAGGGGUAUUCUUGAGGGAGCGGUAAAAUGCUAUAAUCUCAAGAGGACCGCCUAUGGCGAAAGCAUCUAACGAGAACAGAUCUGACUGUGAGGGACGAAAGCUAGGGGAGCAAACCGGAUUAGAUACCCGAGUAGUCCUAGCCAUAAACGCUGUGAGCAAGGCAUCGUGUAUCCCACGAGGAUAUGCGGUGUCGAAGAGAAGUCGUUAAGCUCACCGCCUGGGAAGUACGGCCGCAAGGUUGAAACUUUAAGGAAUUGGCGGGGGCGCACCACAAGGGGCGCAGCGUGCGGUUUAAUCUUAUACAACACAGAGAACCUUACUAGAAGCGACGGCAGGAUGAAGGUCACCCUGAAGGGGUUACCUGACGAGCCGAGAGGUGGUGCAUGGCCAUCGCCAGCUCGUGCUAUGAAGUGUCCAGUUAAGUCUGGUAACGAGCGAGACCUGUAUCUGUUAUUGCCAUCGGCUCUUCGGAGGACCGGGCACAUUACAGGGACUGCCUUAGAAAUAAGGAGGAAGGUGCAGGCUACGGUAGGUCUGUAUGCCCCGAAUCUUCUAGGCUACACGCGCGCAACAAUGGUAGAAACAAUGGGAUGCUACUCCGAAAGGAGACGCUAACCCUCUAAAUUCUAUCUAAGUUCAGAUUGAGGAUUGCAACUCAUCCUCAUGACGCCGGAGUCCCUAGUAAUCGGAGUUCAACAAACUCCGGUGAAUAUGUCCCUGCGCCUCCCACGCACC